This 361-nucleotide ribosomal RNA is filed under the name uncultured Sphingobacteriales bacterium. RNAcentral's name for it is "bacterial SSU rRNA". It matches the Rfam family "Bacterial small subunit ribosomal RNA", at positions 1022 to 1382 of the family's 1533-position model. Lineage: Bacteria; Pseudomonadati; Bacteroidota; Sphingobacteriia; Sphingobacteriales. The record is from RNAcentral.
CGGAGCAUUUUACGAGGUGCUGCAUGGUUGUCGUCAGCUCGUGCCGUGAGGUGUCGGGUUAAGUCCCAUAACGAGCGCAACCCCUACCUUUAGUUGCCAUCAGGUUAAGCUGGGGACUCUAAAGGAACUGCCUACGCAAGUAGUGAGGAAGGCGGGGAUGACGUCAAAUCAGCACGGCCCUUACGUCCAGGGCUACACACGUGCUACAAUGGCCGAUACAGAGGGCAGCUACCUGGUGACAGGAUGCAAAUCUCCAAAGUCGGUCUCAGUUCGGAUCGGAGUCUGCAACCCGACUCCGUGAAGUUGGAUUCGCUAGUAAUCGCGCAUCAGCCAUGGCGCGGUGAAUACGUUCCCGGGCCUU